Molecule: ribosomal RNA, 624 nt
Filed under: Fusarium circinatum
Lineage: Eukaryota; Fungi; Ascomycota; Sordariomycetes; Hypocreales; Nectriaceae
Description: eukaryotic LSU rRNA
Rfam family: Eukaryotic large subunit ribosomal RNA
Source: RNAcentral
AACUUCUGAAUGUUGACCUCGGAUCAGGUAGGAAUACCCGCUGAACUUAAGCAUAUCAAUAAGCGGAGGAAAAGAAACCAACAGGGAUUGCCCUAGUAACGGCGAGUGAAGCGGCAACAGCUCAAAUUUGAAAUCUGGCUCUCGGGCCCGAGUUGUAAUUUGUAGAGGAUACUUUUGAUGCGGUGCCUUCCGAGUUCCCUGGAACGGGACGCCAUAGAGGGUGAGAGCCCCGUCUGGUUGGAUGCCAAAUCUCUGUAAAGUUCCUUCGACGAGUCGAGUAGUUUGGGAAUGCUGCUCUAAAUGGGAGGUAUAUGUCUUCUAAAGCUAAAUACCGGCCAGAGACCGAUAGCGCACAAGUAGAGUGAUCGAAAGAUGAAAAGCACUUUGAAAAGAGAGUUAAAAAGUACGUGAAAUUGUUGAAAGGGAAGCGUUUAUGACCAGACUUGGGCUUGGUUAAUCAUCUGGGGUUCUCCCCAGUGCACUUUUCCAGUCCAGGCCAGCAUCAGUUUUCCCCGGGGGAUAAAGACUUCGGGAAUGUGGCUCUUCUUCGGGGAGUGUUAUAGCCCGUUGUGUAAUACCCUGGGGGGGACUGAGGUUCGCGCAUCUGCAAGGAUGCUGGCGUAA